UGAGGAAUAUUGGGCAAUGGACGCAAGUCUGACCCAGCCAUGCCGCGUGCAGGAUGAAUGCCCUAUGGGUUGUAAACUGCUUUUGUACAGAAAGAAAUCACCGGACGUGUCCGGUGUUGACGGUACUGUAUGAAUAAGCAUCGGCUAACUCCGUGCCAGCAGCCGCGGUAAUACGGAGGAUGCAAGCGUUAUCCGGAUUUAUUGGGUUUAAAGGGUGUGUAGGCGGGAAAUUAAGUCAGUGAUGAAAUCCUACAGCUUAACUGUAGAACUGUUAUUGAUACUGGUUUUCUUGAAUACAGUUGAGGCAGGCGGAAUGUGUAAUGUAGCGGUGAAAUGCUUAGAUAUUACACAGAACACCGAUUGCGAAGGCAGCUUGCUAAACUGUCAUUGACGCUGAGGCACGAAAGCGUGGGGAUCAAACAGG
Molecule: ribosomal RNA, 424 nt
Filed under: uncultured bacterium
Lineage: Bacteria
Description: bacterial SSU rRNA
Rfam family: Bacterial small subunit ribosomal RNA
Source: RNAcentral